AUGGUCGACACACCGCGCAGCCCCCCUGGCAUGCGUCGCAACGGUGGCGGCGAUGACAGCGGCGAUCCAUCGCGCGUUCACGAAGAGUACCACCCCGAAACCCUGUCUUCGCGGCAGAGGGAGGAACUUCACGGCCGCAACAUGGAGGCGCUUCACACGCCCAUCGUUGAGGAGACCUCUGAGGCUCGGGCCUUGGAGGAGGCGCGCCUGGCCACUUUGGCUGAGCGCACUCGACUAGAGAACCUUCAGCAUGCACUCGACGAGCAUGCUCGGCGGCAGAUUCCUGAGUCCAGUCGACGGCAACGACAACUGUUCCCGCCUCAACCUCAGCAGGAGAGCAGAACACAGCAGUGUCUCAGUCACGGAGCAGAAUCCAUAGCAGAACUGUGGUGGCCGAUACAGUCCAGUCGGCUCACAGCCCUAGAUCGCCUCAGCGGCGUGAAGGGCAAGGGCAUCGUCAAGAGCAAUAUUUGGGUCGGAACCAUGAGCAGUAUGAUAAUCGACUCUGCCGUGAUGACCGCCGUCGAGUGUCUACGCCCCCUCCGAGGGGCGGAUCAUACGUGCCCCGGCAUUAUGAUGACAGGCGCCCGUACAACGAUGAGCGGAGGUUGCCAGUCGACCCAAGAGAGCCAGGAUUUGAUGCAAGGUCAAUUCUGGUGCAAGGUCUGGUCGACAGGAACCGAGCACAUAGAGAAGGGCAAGACAGAGAUCACCCGAGUGGAAGCAGAGUACAUGCACUACAAAAAAAAUUACACUUCCGUGAUGAUACGUGUUUGUCACAGUAGGUCACGUUUUCUGUCAUGCAUGUACAUCCAUGACAAAUUUAUGACAGAAUCAAGAUAG
RNAcentral lists this ribosomal RNA (843 nucleotides) under Triticum aestivum (bread wheat). RNAcentral describes it as "partial small subunit ribosomal RNA". Lineage: Eukaryota; Viridiplantae; Streptophyta; Magnoliopsida; Poales; Poaceae. The record is from RNAcentral.